CCCGCAUUCGCCCGGGUCAGGAGCUGCUCUGUGUGAGGAGCGCUGUCUGCGCAGCCGCCUUGCACUUCCCCACUCCUCCUCCCCCCUCCUACUCGUCCUCCACCUCCUUCCUCCCCCACCCAGCCUUACACCGCCCAGCGCCCCGCCGCCCGCGUAACAGGCGUCUGGGAAUCGCCGGCCGAGCCCCACGCUCGCCCGCUUCGGCUGGGAGCCGAAGCCCGAACGGAGCCAAUCACGGACGUCGUUUGUUUGCGGCUCCUCCCGGAAAAAGCCGAUCAGCCUGAGAAACCAAUUAGAAAGUGACGCUGGGAAGCCACGCCCAAAGAGCGGAAAAUGCCGAAGGUAGCCGAACGGAAAGGGUGAAUUCGCCUUGUUCGGUGGCUGGCUGGAGGAGACAUUCGACAAUGGCAACAGUGGCCAAUCAGAGUCGCCGGCCCUUACGAAGAGGCUUGAAGAGUUGAGGACGGUGAAACCCAGAGACGCUGGUGAAACUGCACGGCUGGGCGCCGCCGCCGCUUUGUGAUUGGCUGGAAAACUCCGCUGGGAGCGUACCUCCUUCGGUGAUUGGUGAAGAGAAGGGGGCUUCCGAGGACAGUCUGGCCAGUCAGGACUUCCCCUCCCUCUCCAAGGUGGGGAGAAGAAAGCGAAGGGAGGGCGUCUAUAAAGCGCUGUCUCAUUGGCCUGAAGCUUAGGCGCUGGAGUUGGGGCAAAAGGGAGAGGGAGGGAGCCCGAAACUCGCGGCGGCGGCCAAUCGGCUCUCACUGCCGUCCAAUCGCAAGACCUAGCUGCAGUGUGAUUGGCCUUCGGCCCCGGUCCCAGGAGCGGGGAGAUGCCUGACUCGGGUCGUGGCUGACGACCCGACGGUUCGCCUGCGGCCGCCUCCAACAACGGUGGAAACCGCACACAGGGACCGCGGGCCCUCGGUGCAGCAAAUCGGAAAGUGCUGCGGUCGGCGGCCCUGGGCUCUGAGCGCUCAAGCGAGCAGAGGGGUGGAGGGGCUCUCCCCACCCACAGGAGGCUCUCGGCGGGGCGCAGCCAAUUCUGCGCGCCCAAGGCUCCCCUCUGCCGUGGAUCGCGUGUGCCGAGUGUUGGCCUCUUCCCCGAAAGGGCCAGACGGACCAAGGGGGCCUUCCCAGCCGGCUGCAAGCUCUCAGACGCUAAAAUGGGAACAAAGCUUCCAGAAAGGCAGCGCCUUUGGGCGGCCGCGCCCCGCCCAGCCGCGGGGGCCAUUGAUACAGAGGCUUGCUGCGCUUGGUGUGCGCGGCCCGGCCGGGCCUCUGGAAACGCCCAUGAGAAAUGAGCUCAUGCUGGAUGCGCGCGCUCCUUGGGCGCAACUGCCCAGCGCAAAACGGGCCCCGAAAGCAGGUGAGGGGAAAUGCCGUCAGGCCGGAUAUCCUGAAGCCUCCGAGGAAAUGGGGGGGUCAGAGGAGCCCGUGGUAGCUUUGGAUCUUUUGGAACUAGGGUGAUCUAUAAAAGUGCAGCUUGAGAAGAUUUCAUACAUAAGACCAGCGUCCAUUGUUCUACCAUAGAACCAGUUCCUUUGGUCUGCUUUAGAACAGUGAGGUAUGGCUACGUCAAGAUAACAGAGAAAGUAGAACAGACAGUUGCCAUCCUGAUUGUAAUCCAGUGGUGCCUGUAAUUUCUACCUGCAGAGUCAUCUCUUUCUGUUAAGAUGCUGUCUCCAGAAAGCACAUGUUAAAGGACCUAUAUUUGAUCAGAUUACCUGGCUCUUGCUUUGAAACACUGAUGAAGGACUUGGGACAGAACAAAGUGAGUGGAGGACACUUCAAUCUAAAGUGAUCUUAAAGGAGGAGUAGUAGGAUUUGAAGAUGAAGAAAGAAGAGGGGAGGUAAAUUACUUUCCAUCACUUCAAUUUCAACCCAUCAGAUAAAACCUCUCUUUAGUAAACCUGCAUGUGGGUGGAGCUGUAACAGCAAUUAAGGACAGUGUGACUCUGUUCUUCUGACUUUGGGAAAACCAGUUUGGCUGGAACAAAAAGCUGAUAGAGAAGACUAAUGGAAGAUAAGGUUGAAAAGGUUAAAAAAUGGAGGCAACAGCUGGGUACAGUGGCUCACUCCUGUAAUUCCAGCACUUUAGGAGGCCAAGGUAGGCAGAUCACUUGAGAAAAAGAGUUCGAGACCAGCCUGGGCAACAUAGUGAGACCCUCUCUCUCAAAAAAAAUAGCCAAGUGUGAUGAUGGACACCUGUAACCCCAACUACUUCAGAGACUGAGGCAGGAGGAUCACUUGAGCCUAGGAGGUCAAGGCUGCAGUGAGCUGUGAUUGGGCCACUGCACUCCAGCCUGGGUGACACAGAGAGACCUCUCUAAAAAAUAAAAAAAUAAAAAAAAUGGAAGCACAGAAAACUAUACCUUUUCUAGCUCAACUUUACCACAUUGAUGAAAAAGUAUUGAGCAGCCACAGGUACAUGACAUUCCACUAUGUUCUUGGGAUAAUAUUAAAGAAAAGGCAUGAAGGUAUGCUCUGAGCAGGCAAGAGAAGUCACAUAAAAUGAGAGUAAUUUAUAAUGUGAUUUUUUCCCAUGGUCCUUCUUUUUCUCAUUUAACUGUUUACUCCUUUAUAUGUUAUAGCAAUUGUUGUUUAAUAAUUGCAUUAAAAUAAAUAGAUGCCUUGGACACUGAUACUCUUGGAAUACAGAACAAUGUUCAUAGCAUUUAAUAUAUGGAUACAAGAUUUUUUAAAAGGAAAGAUGUAUAUAUAGGGUCCUACCAGAUUAGAAGUAUGAUUGCAGUUGGAAUUUAAUUAGUGAGCACUUACUAAAUACCUAUUAUG
RNAcentral lists this long non-coding RNA (2792 nucleotides) under Homo sapiens (human). RNAcentral describes it as "HSALNT0314131". Lineage: Eukaryota; Metazoa; Chordata; Mammalia; Primates; Hominidae. The record is from RNAcentral.